CAGUUUAUCCUGGCUCAGGAUGAACGCUGGCGGCGUGCCUAAUACAUGCAAGUCGAACGAGGUGCUUUUGUAGCAAUACGAGAGUAUCCUAGUGGCGAACGGGUGAGUAACGCGUUGGUGACCUACCCCAAAGUGUGGGAUAACAGUCCGAAAGGAUUGCUAAUACCGCAUGUGGUUAUUGGAUUUAGAAACCGAUAACUAAAGGAGCAAUUCGCUUUGGGAGGGACCUGCGUCCCAUCAGCUAGUUGGUGAGGUAAUGGCUCACCAAGGCUACGACGGGUAGGGGACCUGAGAGGGUGACCCCCCACAAUGGAACUGAAACACGGUAUUAUACACCUACGGGUGGCAGCAGUAGGGAAUAUUACACAAUGGGCGAAAGCCUGAUGCAGCAACGCCGCGUGUGUGAUGAAGGCCUUCGGGUCGUAAAGCACUUUUCUGGGAGCCAGAAAGGACAGUAUCCCAGGAAUAAGUCUCGGCUAACUACGUGCCAGCAGCCGCGGUAAAACGUAGGAGGCAAGCGUUAUCCGGAUUCACUGGGCGUAAAGCGCGUGCAGGCGGUGCGGUAAGUAUGGCGUGAAAUCUCCCGGCUCAACUGGGAGAGGUCGUCUAAUACUACCGUACUUGAGAGCAGAAGAGGAAGAUGGAAUUCCCGGUGUAGUGGUGAAAUGCGUAGAUAUCGGGAGGAACACCAGUGGCGAAGGCGAUAUACACUGGUCUGUUUCUGACGCUCAGACGCGAUAUAGCUAGGGUAGUAAACGGGAUUAGAGACCCCGGUAAUCCUAGCCGUAAACGAUGUGAACUUGGCGUUGGUGGGUUAAACUCCAUCAGUGCCGUAGCAAACGCGAUAAGUUCACCGCCUGGGGACUACGGCCGCAAGGUUAAAACUCAAAGGCAGUUUGACGGGGGCCCGCACAAGCAGCGGAGCGUGUGGUUUAAAUAUCUUUGCUACACGAAGAACCUUACCCAGGCUUGACAUACAGGUGGUAGGGAUCCGAAAGGUGACCGACCCGCAAGGGAGCCUGAACAGGUGUUGCAUGUAUUCGUCAGCUCGUGCACAGAUAUUCGGUUAAGUCCGCUAACGAGCGCAACCCCAGGCUGUGUGUUACAAGUGUAUCGCAGGACCGCCGGUUUUAAGCCGGAGGAAGGUGGGGAUGACGUCAAGUCAGCAUGGCCUUUAUGCCUGGGGCUACACACACGCUACAAUGGGCAGUACAAUGGGUUGCAUAUAGCCGCGAGGUGGAGCCAAUCCCCCAAAACUGUCCUCAGUUCUAGAUUGCAGGCUGCAUUGCCUGCAUGAAGCCGGAGCACAGUAUUUAAACGCGCGUCAGCUAUAGUGCUAUGAAUACGUUUCGGGCCUUGUACACACCGAUUGUCACGUCAUGGGAGCUGGUAACACCUGAAGCCGGUAGCCUAACCGCAAGGAGGGUAUAUCG
This 1433-nucleotide ribosomal RNA is filed under the name uncultured bacterium. Its description in RNAcentral is "bacterial SSU rRNA". It matches the Rfam family "Bacterial small subunit ribosomal RNA". The record is from RNAcentral.